CUGCUUGGUUGUGAGGUUUGAAAUAGAAAUUUGAGUGUAGUAGAAUGGGCAAUCGAGAGAUCAAAGUCAUCGGCCCAUUUUCGCGUGGUGGCAUGUCUACUGCCAUGGAGAAUUUGAAGUGCUAAGCAUUUUUCGGGUGCCCCUUCUUUUCUCUUUCAUAUCCUUUUAUCUUUUAUGAUUAAUUACAAUAUUCAAUGCUUGAACUGCAGACGUGCAGGGAAAACAGAUUUAGUGUACUUUAGGUGAGCUAAGGCGUGUGUAUAAUAAGCCCCAUAUUAUUUUCCUUUUGGAAACUCAUAUCUCUGGUGUUCGAGCAGAUGAGGGUUCUACCAUUUUGGGUUUUGAUGGUAUGAUUCGAUCAGGUGCCAACGGAUUUGCAGGAGGGAUUUGGGCCUUAUCGAACUCCCAAAUGGUUGACGCGUCUGUUCAUCAUAUUCAUUCCCGAUGUUUGACCCCAGAAAUUGCGGACCUUGAUGGGCAUAAAUGGCUUUGUAACUGUGUUCUGCUGUAUACGCAUGUCCAGUUUCUGCUUUGAAAGAAAAAGUCACGGAAGCUUCUAUAUGGAUUCUCGUCUGGCUUGCAGGUUUCUUGGGCUCUGACAGGGGACUUCAACGGCUAUCUUAAUACCGCAGAGAAUAGGGGUGGGCUCAUAGUCGUGCAUUGAAAUUCAAAGAGAGGAUGGGUGCUCUUUGAUUGAAAUUGGCUAGGAAGGGAAUAUAUUUACUUAUCCUCGUAAGUGCCAUGUUGUUUAUUAUAUUCAUGUUCGCCUGGAUAGACGAUUAUCUAAUGAGUUGUGCCGAGUUUUAUUCCCAGAAGCAUCUGUGCUUCAUCUUCCAAGGUUUAAUUCCGACAGUCAUUUGUUGCUCAAGAUGUGGACGCCCACUCCCCCUUCUUAUAAGAGGCCCUUUCACUUCCAGGCCGCUUGGCUAACACUAUAGGAGUUUCCCCGUGUUGUCAGUGAGGUUUUUGCUACUGGCUCUUUCCCUGAUUCUAUUGUUGAGACCUUGAUUGUUUUGAUUGUUCAAGCAUAGAAUAUUGUAAUUAAUCACAAAGGUGCUUGUGUGCAGAAUCCGUCCUUUGUUAAUGAUUUUAUUAAUCCUAUGCAGGCAAGUUUUCCUCCAGGAAGGGUAGCUUCUGAUAACAUUAUUGCUCAGGAGCUUCUUCACUCCGCUAGGAAACACAUAAAGGUCGCUGUGGUGGAAUGGCUGUUAAAAAAAGUGGAUUCAGCGAAAGCCUAUAAUCGAGUGUAUCUAAAGAGUGAGGCGAGGUGAAUGGAAGCCUUUUCAGAUUUCUCCGAGCGGUCCCUUAAUAUCUCACUAUUCUUUGCAGAUGAUGUCAUAUUCUUUACUCGAGCUUCUAUUGAUCAAGCUCGGGUAAUUAAUUUGACUCUUCAAGAGAUUUGUUAUGCUUUAGGGAUGGCUGUUAAUUCAUCCGAAGUCUAAAGGCUUUGUCAGUCCAGCUUGUACUCGGAGGAGGAAAGAUCGGCUGAAGACUAUCCUGAAUGUUUCCUUCCAGUUGGAUACGGGUUGGAAGGGCAAAUUGCUUCAUUGUGCUGAGCGAGCUACUUCGGUGCAGAAUACAAUUACAUCGAUCCCUAUUCAUGCGAUGCAAACGGUGUGGCCUUUAUCGGCGUGUGAUGAUAUCGAUAUGCCGGCUAGAGGUUUUCUUCAGGGAAAAAAUGGUAGGGGUCCUGGGGUUCAUCUUCUGAAUUGGGAUACAGUAACUCUUCCUACGAAGCUUGGUGGAUUGGAUGUUCGUUAGGCUGGAGAGGUUAAUACAGCCUUGAUUAGUGAAUUAAGUUGGGAGCUUGUGAGCGGGUAUGAUGAGCUCUGCAUGAAAAUUAUGGGUGCUAGAUAUGUUCAUGGGACUGAUCUGUGGCCUCAUGUUAUUUCUUCCGGCGCGUCACCACCAUGGAGAGGGAUUAUGCAUGGAUUUAAUUUGCUUGAAGAAGUUACAUUUUCUUUUGGUUUGACACGUGGCUUCCUGCGGUCCGACAUGCCUGCAUUUCAAAAUUUAGCAUAGAUUGUUGAGGUUGACAUCACAAAAACAUGCUAAAACAAAUCAUCUAAGAAAA
Populus nigra (black poplar) is the source of this 2074-nucleotide long non-coding RNA. RefSeq lists it as uncharacterized. The transcript is spliced from 2 exons. The record is from RefSeq and is a predicted model, not a curated record. NCBI's taxonomy places the organism in Eukaryota, Viridiplantae, Streptophyta, Magnoliopsida, Malpighiales, Salicaceae.